AACAAGGCGUACCUGCGGACCUGCGGAAGGAUCAUUAUCGAGUUGCAAAACUCCAACCCUUUGUGAACAUACCUCAGUCGUUGCUUCGGCGGUGGACGGCCUGUUUUUCGGAACGGCCGGAAGCCGCCGGAGGUUCCAAACUCGUAUUUUUUAGUGUAUCUCUGAGCCUGAAAACAAAUAAUCAAAACUUUUAGCAACGGAUCU
Molecule: unclassified non-coding RNA, 204 nt
Filed under: soil metagenome
Description: partial contains 5.8S ribosomal RNA, internal transcribed spacer 2, and large subunit ribosomal RNA
Source: RNAcentral